This 818-nucleotide ribosomal RNA is filed under the name uncultured bacterium. RNAcentral's name for it is "bacterial SSU rRNA". It matches the Rfam family "Bacterial small subunit ribosomal RNA", at positions 51 to 877 of the family's 1533-position model. The record is from RNAcentral.
ACACAUGCAAGUCGAGGGGUAUAGUAGCAAUACUAGAGACCGGCGCACGGGUGCGUAACGCGUAUGCAAUCUACCUUUUGCAGAGGGAUAGCCCAGAGAAAUUUGGAUUAAUACCUCAUAGUAUAACGACUCGGCAUCGAGAUGUUAUUAAAGUCACAACGGCAAAAGAUGAGCAUGCGUCCCAUUAGUUAGUUGGUAAGGUAACGGCUUACCAAGACUACGAUGGGUAGGGGUCCUGAGAGGGAGAUCCCCCACACUGGUACUGAGACACGGACCAGACUCCUACGGGAGGCAGCAGUGAGGAAUAUUGGACAAUGGGCGCAAGCCUGAUCCAGCCAUGCCGCGUGCAGGAUGACGGUCCUAUGGAUUGUAAACUGCUUUUGCACAGGAAGAAACAACGCUACGUGUAGCGUCUUGACGGUACUGUGAGAAUAAGGAUCGGCUAACUCCGUGCCAGCAGCCGCGGUAAUACGGAGGAUCCAAGCGUUAUCCGGAAUCAUUGGGUUUAAAGGGUCCGUAGGCGGUCUUAUAAGUCAGUGGUGAAAUCUCCCCGCUCAACGGGGAAACGGCCAUUGAUACUGUAGGACUUGAAUUAUUAGGAAGUAACUAGAAUAUGUAGUGUAGCGGUGAAAUGCUUAGAGAUUACAUGGAAUACCAAUUGCGAAGGCAGGUUACUACUAAUGGAUUGACGCUGAUGGACGAAAGCGUGGGUAGCGAACAGGAUUAGAUACCCUGGUAGUCCACGCCGUAAACGAUGGAUACUAGCUGUUGGGCGCAAGUUCAGUGGCUAAGCGAAAGUGAUAAGUAUCCCACCUGGG